UAGAGUUGUAAAACUCCCAACCCAUGUGAACAUACCUCUGUUGCCUCGGUGGCCUACCCGGUAGUUACCCUGUAGUUACCCUGUAGACCGCCGACGGACCACUAAACUCUGAUUAUUUUAAAUCUCUGAGUAAAUACUUAAUAAGUUA
This 148-nucleotide unclassified non-coding RNA is filed under the name uncultured Fusidium. RNAcentral's name for it is "sequence contains ITS1". Lineage: Eukaryota; Fungi; Ascomycota; Sordariomycetes; Hypocreales; Nectriaceae. The record is from RNAcentral.